This 72-nucleotide transfer RNA is filed under the name Ovis aries (sheep). It matches the Rfam family "tRNA". Rfam says of the family: Transfer RNA (tRNA) molecules are approximately 80 nucleotides in length. Their secondary structure includes four short double-helical elements and three loops (D, anti-codon, and T loops). Lineage: Eukaryota; Metazoa; Chordata; Mammalia; Artiodactyla; Bovidae. The record is from Rfam by way of RNAcentral.
UCCCUGGUGGUCUGGUGGUUAGGACUUGGCACUAUCACUGCUGGGGCCCGGGUUCCAUUCCUGGUCAGGGAA